This 76-nucleotide transfer RNA is filed under the name Anoxybacter fermentans. RNAcentral describes it as "tRNA-Glu". It matches the Rfam family "tRNA". Rfam says of the family: Transfer RNA (tRNA) molecules are approximately 80 nucleotides in length. Their secondary structure includes four short double-helical elements and three loops (D, anti-codon, and T loops). Lineage: Bacteria; Bacillati; Bacillota; Clostridia; Halanaerobiales. The record is from RNAcentral.
GCUCCCAUCGUCUAGCGGCCUAGGACACCAGGUUUUCAACCUGGCGGCACGGGUUCAAAUCCCGUUGGGAGUGCCA